This 494-nucleotide ribosomal RNA is filed under the name uncultured bacterium. RNAcentral's name for it is "bacterial SSU rRNA". It matches the Rfam family "Bacterial small subunit ribosomal RNA", at positions 28 to 536 of the family's 1533-position model. The record is from RNAcentral.
GACGAACGCUGGCGGCGUGCUUAACACAUGCAAGUCGAACGGUCCUGUUUUUGAAGCGCUUCGGCGUGGAGGGGACGGGGCAGUGGCGCACGGGUGAGUAAUGCGCGAGGACCUGCCCGCAGGAGGGGGACAGCAGUUGGAAACGGCUGGUGAUACCCCGUAGGCCGGGAGGUGAAAGGGCGGAGACGCCCGCCUGCGGAUGGACUCGCGUCCUAUCAGCUAGUUGGUGAGGCAACGGCUCACCAAGGCGACGACGGGUAGCCGGCCUGAGAGGGUGUCCGGCCACACUGGAACUGAGACACGGUCCAGACUCCUACGGGAGGCAGCAGUGGGGAAUUUUGGGCAAUGGGGGAGACCCUGACCCAGCGACGCCGCGUGAGGGACGAAGGCCCUUGGGUCGUAAACCUCUUUUGCAGGGGAAGAAGAAGAUGACGGUACCUUGCGAACAAGUCCCGGCUAACUACGUGCCAGCAGCCGCGGUAAGCUAGUCUACG